This is a long non-coding RNA of Hippopotamus amphibius kiboko, 562 nucleotides long. RefSeq lists it as uncharacterized. The transcript is spliced from 3 exons. The record is from RefSeq and is a predicted model, not a curated record. NCBI's taxonomy places the organism in Eukaryota, Metazoa, Chordata, Mammalia, Artiodactyla, Hippopotamidae.
UGGGAGGUGAUGCCAACAUUCUCAAGUCUCGCCUAAGGUUUUCUGAUUCUAAAUCUGUUCUUUCGGGCUUCCCAGGUGGCAAAAACCACCUGCCAAGGCAGGGGACAUGGGUUCAAGCCCUGGUCUGGGAAGAUCCCACAUGCAGCAAAGCUACUAAGCCCCAUUGCCACAACUCCUGAGCCUGUGCUCUAUAGCCCGCCAGCCACAGCUAUUGAGCCUAUGUGCCACAACUACUGAAGCCCACGCACCGCAACAAGAGAAGCCAUGACAAUGAGAAGCCCACACACCAAGGGACAUAGAAGAUCGUUGAUUGAGAGGAGAAACUGGAGCCCCUAAGGAAAAGGAUCUUGCCAAAAGACACACAAUAGAUCCCAGCAAAACUUGUACUGCCUCAUCUACUGAGUAGAGGCUGGAUCCAUAGGGCAGAGCCACCAUGGACCCAGAUCUUAGUUCCCAGGCCAGGGAUCCAACCUGUGCCCCCUGCAGUGGGAAUUGCAGAGUCUUAACCAUUGCGCCACCAGGGAAGUAAGAGCUUAGACUACCAAUUUUACACUUUUCCUAU